AGUGAACGCUGGCGGUAGGCCUAACACAUGCAAGUCGAACGGCAGCACAGCAAGAGCUUGCUCUUACGGGUGGCGAGUGGCGGACGGGUGAGGAAUACAUCGGAAUCUACUUUUUCGUGGGGGAUAACGUAGGGAAACUUACGCUAAUACCGCAUACGACCUACGGGUGAAAGCAGGGGAUCUUCGGACCUUGCGCGAUUGAAUGAGCCGAUGUCGGAUUAGCUAGUUGGCGGGGUAAAGGCCCACCAAGGCGACGAUCCAUAGCUGGUCUGAGAGGAUGAUCAGCCACACUGGAACUGAGACACGGUCCAGGCUCCUACGGGAGGCAGCAGUGGGGAAUAUUGGACAAUGGGCGCAAGCCUGAUCCAGCCAUACCGCGUGGGUGAAGAAGGCCUUCGGGUUGUAAAGCCCUUUUGUUGGGAAAGAAAAGCAGCAGGUUAAUACCCCGCUGUUCUGACGGUACCCAAAGAAUAAGCACCGGCUAACUUCGUG
Molecule: ribosomal RNA, 492 nt
Filed under: uncultured bacterium
Lineage: Bacteria
Description: partial 16S ribosomal RNA
Rfam family: Bacterial small subunit ribosomal RNA
Source: RNAcentral